Long non-coding RNA from Zea mays, 579 nucleotides. RefSeq lists it as uncharacterized. The record is from RefSeq and is a predicted model, not a curated record. The transcript is spliced from 2 exons. Lineage: Eukaryota; Viridiplantae; Streptophyta; Magnoliopsida; Poales; Poaceae.
GUGCACAAGCGAAGUUUUCAAGCAGAGGCAUUUAGAAGUUCCUCACCGACUAUUUAAAGCCCGGGCCGGUCAACAGAGAAAAUGCAAAUGAAGAUCAAAGUGUUUGUGAUCAUCGGAAUUAUUAUUACCAUCAAUUCAUGUAGUUGUAUUUCAAAGAAAAUAGAAGGAGAUGGAAUGUACAACGAUAUGCAUGGCAAGGAGGGUCGCAAACUCAUAAAUACUGAUGGAAGGACGGCCCCAGCCGGUGACUCCAUAGAUCAUGUGUGUCCUCUUGGGAGCUAUCCUUGCCGGUCUUUGAUUUACAGUUCUCAUGAUACUACACAGGAUCCUGGUGGACACUAAAAGUCUAUCAGAAUGCAUGCAAAUCAGAACAUGAAGUGUCACUGUAACCUUUUGUAUCUGUGAACUGUUAUUAUGCGUGUUGCUGGUAGUUUGUCACUGAAUUGUGUAUUUGAUGUUUGUGUUGUGUACUUAAGAUCAAUGUUAACAUACCAGUUCAGUACUAUCUAUUGUAUGAAAUAAAUCCAUUAUGGAAGCUCAAUAGAUGAACAAAAAAAGCAUAGUUUGCCGUAUAUGUAA